UUUUAGUUAUAAGUAUAUCCUGUGGAAUAUUUGGGACAUACUUAUACAAAAA
Molecule: microRNA precursor, 52 nt
Filed under: Marmota monax (woodchuck)
Lineage: Eukaryota; Metazoa; Chordata; Mammalia; Rodentia; Sciuridae
Source: RNAcentral